AAGUCGUAACAAGGUUUCCGUAGGUGAACCUGCGGAAGGAUCAUUAACAAACAGCGAGCAAAAAGCGAAGCACAAUGUGUAAUGAAGUGUGCUGAUGGUGUCCCGGUGGGGAGUGGGAGCGCAGCAUGAAAAACGAUUGUCAGAUAGAAUAGUAUGUAUGUAAUAACAACAACUUUUAACAAUGGAUCUCUUGGCUCUU
Molecule: unclassified non-coding RNA, 199 nt
Filed under: Phylloporus sp.
Lineage: Eukaryota; Fungi; Basidiomycota; Agaricomycetes; Boletales; Boletaceae
Description: partial contains small subunit ribosomal RNA, internal transcribed spacer 1, and 5.8S ribosomal RNA
Rfam family: Eukaryotic small subunit ribosomal RNA (bases 1-46)
Source: RNAcentral